CUAGUCACUUGGAGAAGCAAGAAGAAAAAUGUGACAGCUAGAUCGAGUGCAGAGGCUGAGUUUAUAGCAAUGGCUCUAGGUAUUUGUGAACUAUUAUGGUUACUAAAGUUGAUGGAGGAAUUGAAAUUGCUGGAAGCUAGUGGUUUGUCCUUAUUUUGUCAUAACAAAGCGGCCAUCAGUAUAGUUUACAAUCCAGUUCAGCAUGAUCGGA
RNAcentral lists this unclassified non-coding RNA (211 nucleotides) under Hevea brasiliensis (rubber tree). Lineage: Eukaryota; Viridiplantae; Streptophyta; Magnoliopsida; Malpighiales; Euphorbiaceae. The record is from RNAcentral.